This 851-nucleotide ribosomal RNA is filed under the name marine metagenome. RNAcentral's name for it is "bacterial SSU rRNA". It matches the Rfam family "Bacterial small subunit ribosomal RNA", at positions 555 to 1403 of the family's 1533-position model. The record is from RNAcentral.
UGGGCGUAAAGAGAAUGUAGGCGGGUGAAUAAGUUGGAAGUGAAAUCCUAUGGCUUAACCAUAGAACUGCUUCCAAAACUGUUCACCUAGAAUAUGGGAGAGGUAGAUGGAAUUUCUGGUGUAGGGGUAAAAUCCGUAGAGAUCAGAAGGAAUACCGAUUGCGAAGGCGAUCUACUGGAACAUUAUUGACGCUGAGAUUCGAAAGCGUGGGGAGCAAACAGGAUUAGAUACCCUGGUAGUCCACGCCCUAAACGAUGUACACUAGUUGUUGCUAUACUAGAUAUAGCAGUAAUGCAGUUAACACAUUAAGUGUACCGCCUGGGGAGUACGGUCGCAAGAUUAAAACUCAAAGGAAUAGACGGGGACCCGCACAAGCGGUGGAGCAUGUGGUUUAAUUCGACGAUACGCGAAGAACCUUACCUAGGCUUGACAUUUAUAGAACUUACCAGAGAUGGUUUGGUGCCGGCUUGCCGGAACUAUAGGACAGGUGCUGCACGGCUGUCGUCAGCUCGUGUCGUGAGAUGUUGGGUUAAGUCCCGCAACGAGCGCAACCCACGUGAUUAGUUGCUAACAGUUCGGCUGAGAACUCUAAUCAGACUGCCUUCGUAAGGAGGAGGAAGGUGUGGACGACGUCAAGUCAUCAUGGCCCUUACGCCUAGGGCUACACACGUGCUACAAUGGGACAUACAAAGAGCAGCAAUACCGCGAGGUGGAGCAAAUCUUGAAAAUGUCUCCCAGUUCGGAUAGUACUCUGCAACUCGAGUGCUUGAAGUUGGAAUCGCUAGUAAUCGUAGAUCAGCAAUGCUACGGUGAAUACGUUCCCGGGUCUUGUACUCACCGCCCGUCACACC